GAUGAACGCCGGCGGUGUGCCUAAUACAUGCAAGUCGUACGCACUGGCCCAACUGAUUGAUGAUGCUUGCACCUGAUUGACGAUGGAUCACCAGUGAGUGGCGGACGGGUGAGUAACACGUAGGUAACCUGCCCCGGAGCGGGGGAUAACAUUUGGAAACAGAUGCUAAUACCGCAUAACAACAAAAGCCGCAUGGUUUUUGUUUGAAAGAUGGCUUGGCUAUCACUCUGGGAUGGACCUGCGGUGCAUUAGCUAGUUGGUAAGGUAACGGCUUACCAAGGCGAUGAUGCAUAGCCGAGUUGAGAGACUGAUCGGCCACAAUGGAACUGAGACACGGUCCAUACUCCUACGGGAGGCAGCAGUAGGGAAUCUUCCACAAUGGGCGCAAGCCUGAUGGAGCAACACCGCGUGAGUGAAGAAGGGUUUCGGCUCGUAAAGCUCUGUUGUUGGAGAAGAACGUGCGUGAGAGUAACUGUUCACGCAGUGACGGUAUCCAACCAGAAAGUCACGGCUAACUAC
This 519-nucleotide ribosomal RNA is filed under the name uncultured bacterium. RNAcentral's name for it is "bacterial SSU rRNA". It matches the Rfam family "Bacterial small subunit ribosomal RNA", at positions 28 to 504 of the family's 1533-position model. The record is from RNAcentral.